CACAACAUUGUGUCACCGUCUGACUGAAGAGUGAGUCUCGUUUGUUUACACUUCCUCGUACAAGACUUGUGUAAGUUUGAUGAGGCGUAGUCCUGAUUUCUGAUGAUGAUCGGUGCCCGAAGAAUCGGGUAGGCUCUGAUAACUGCAAAUCAAGGACAUGUAUGUGUAAGAGGACCGUUCUCUCAGGUUUUCAGAAUGUUUAAAAAAGCAUCCAAGCUGUUUAGCCGGACCGAUAAAGACAAAGAGAAUUCCUCAAAAGAGGUUUCAGAGGCUGAGGUGCUGGGUGUCUAUAUUGAGCCAUUCUUUUAUGGCCGCAUCACUCGUCAAGAGGCGGAGGACGUUUUGAAGGUCAAUGGGAAUGCUGAUGGCCUCUAUCUGCUGAGAGAAAGCUUCACACCAAUGGGGAACUUUUCCCUCUCUAUAUCACACAAUGGCGAGGCUAUACAUUAUGCUAUUCUGAAGCAAAUUGAUGGCAAAUUCCAGAUAUCGGACGGGGUAGCUUUCAGUGACCCAGUGUCCCUGAUCGAGCACUACAGGAGUUCCAAAAAAGGAUUUCUCACUGUUCCGAAAACCCCAUGUCUAAGAAUCCCUCCACAAGAAGCCAUUGCAUGUAGGGGGCUCAGUUAUACUGAGCUUCACUCUCGUAUGAAAACAGCUGCUCAAAAAAUGAAUGCAAAUAUAGCGAAAGCCUUUGGACCACUGCGUGAACCUCUUUUGGUUCACGUCUUAAAGACAAUUCACAAGGACAUGCCAUGGUUCCAUGGAGAAAUCUCACGAGAUGAAGGCAACAAAAGACUGGAGAUGGAUGGACAUAAAGAUGGCAAAUUCUUGAUCAGAUCACGUGCUGACGGUCAGUCAUUUGCUCUGACAAUGAGUCAUGAAUUCAAUCUUCGUCAUUAUUGUAUCCUUGUCAGUGAUGGAGAAACGUACUCAAUAGAGAAUGGAAAUAAAUUCCAAGCCCUUACCAUUCUAGUGGACCACUAUCACAACAAACGGGAUGGUCUCCCUUGCAAACUUGAAAUGCCAGUGCCCAACCCAGAUACCCGACACCGGGUUUGGAAAGAAUACCAACAACUCAGCACAGAUUUGACUCAAAAGCCAGGACACAAGCCCGAUCAGCCUGGUUCAAAAAAACCCCUACGACCCGUCCCUCCCAUCCCAUUAGACGAUUGUUUUCCCGUGUCUCCGUCAACCCCAACAGAGAAUGGGGCCUGCUUUAUUGCGCCUGGGUCUUCACCAAGUUUAGAGCGACCUCCUCCACACAAGUGUUGGGAAGAUGAGGAGGAGCUGGAGGAUCAAGAUAGUACGCAAUUUCGUAGCUUGACAGUGGAGGAAGCUGAGGAACAGGAGAAGAUCUACAGUGACAUCAGGUUGGACGUCAUGAACCGUGGCCUCAACCCAGACCAAGUGACCCUGUCAGAAAACUUGGGUUCUGGUCAGUUUGGCGAGGUCAAGAAAGGUGUGUGCAGACUGAUGGGCAAAGAUAUCCGUGUGGCUGUAAAGACUUUGAAAAAUAAUGAUCGUGAAGCUGAGUCUGAGAUCAUGAAGGAGGCAGAGCUGAUGAAGAAGCUGGAUCAUCCUCACAUCGUGCGCAUGAUAGGUGUUUGUAAAAGCAACAGCCUGAUGCUGGUGCUGGAGCUUGCUGAACUGGGCCCGUUGAAAAAGUAUCUGGAGAGACACAAAGAAAUGAGAACAUGGCACCUUCUUGAGCUGGCGACCCAGAUUUGUGACGGCAUGAGGUACUUGGAGCAGCAUGACGUGGUGCAUCGAGAUCUCGCCACCCGCAAUGUUUUGCUUCUGACAGAGCAUUUCGCCAAGAUCAGCGACUUUGGCAUGUCUCGCAUGGUGGACAGUUCAGAGUAUUACUUAGCUCACGUCCCCGGCAAAUGGCCUCUGAUGUGGUACGCCCCGGAAUGUUUGUACUAUCACAAGUUUGACACGAAGUCGGACGUUUGGAGCUUCGGUGUCACCCUGUGGGAGAUCAUGUCUUUCGGCGCUCGCCCUUAUGCUCAUAAAAAGCCACCCCAAAUUCUGGCCUUCCUUGAAGAAGGUCAUCGGAUGGCCAAGCCAAAAGAUUGUGAUGAUCGAAUCUACAACAUUAUGCUGUCCUGCUGGCAUUUUCAAAAAGAGAAACGACCAACUUUUGCGGAGCUCCAUCCCAAGCUGAACAAAUUGUUCUCGGACUUUCAAGAGCACUAAUUCUUUCAUCUGGUACGGUAUGUGACUUACCAAAUCCUGUCUGUGUUAUCCAGUACUUUGUUGGUUUCCCAUAAUCAGUUCUUGGGGUCUGUAGUGCAAACAGCCAUGAGAUCCUAAAAUGCAAAAUGGUUGAAAGGAUGCACGUUUACUGAGGUUUUUUCUUGUCUAAGUCAAGCGGCAAAUGAGGCCUUAUCAACCCUUGGACUGUGAAGACCUGAAUCAUACAGAUGAUGAGUAGAAGUAUUGUUGAGUAUGAAAGUAAUUUUAUAUACAGUAUAACACGGAUAGGUCGAACACAGAAGACUCUAAAUCACGCAUCUGUCGAACUGUGCCUUCUGUAUUGAGGUUUUUUUUUCUUUGCACGAUAUCCCUGGAACUACAGAUCCCUUGAACAAGCGAGGCCGGUCCCGACGUAUUCGAGCUGUCCAUGUUGUACUGUACUUCCCUGAUUGUAACUUACAGUAAGAAUGUGUCUAUUUGGAAGGAAAGGGUUCUGAGAGUUUUGAGAGUUUCCUCUUGAACUGAUCCAGUCAAACUUGAUUUUUUGGCUCCAAGUACUCCUAGUUCUGAAGGGGGACCGAAAUAGAACCAAAAACUGAACUUAUAUGAAGAGCUAGAGGCUUAGCUGAUAAGAGUUCAACUUAAAAUGUUUUAAGGUCACCAAUCUCUUUUAUUGCCAUAAAUUAUAGACUUACUUCAAAGGACAAAGAUUCCUGGAAAAUGACUAAAAACCUUAACAGGCAUCUUUUGGAUGUUUUAAGGUCACCAAUCUCUUUUAUUGCCAUAAAUUAUAGACUUACUUCAAAGGACAAAGAUUCCUGGAAAAUGACUAAAAACCUUAACAGGCAUCUUUUGGGUGUUUUGUGUGAUAAGAUACACAACUGUGGGACUGGUACAAAACAGUGGACAAAUUCAUCUCAUGGUUCAUAAAUUUGCACUGGUGGUCAAAUCAAGUUACAACUGUUGGGAAAAUGUGAAGGAAAGGAGUCUUAUCUGACAGUUCCUCGGGUCCUGUGCUUCAGAUCAUUUCCAAGAUUAGUUUCCCGUAUUUCUGUGAUCAGCUCACUGUUUGUACUUUGAUGAGAGGUUAUUUUGAAUUUUUGUGUUCAUAAUGAAAAAGACUUUUUGUUCACUGUUGACUGAAGAAGAUUGAGUAAUAUAUUGAGUGUUUUUCCCUCAAGUGUUCAUGUCUUCAGUGUCAUAAUAGAUUUACCUACUGUCAUCUUGAUACAAAAGCUGUCCCGAAAUUGAAGUGAAAAUGGCCAUAACUAUUAACUUGGUUAUUUAAUCUUAAUGAAAUUUCAGCAUAAUGUACUAACUUUAUUUAUCUACUUCUGAAUGUGACUCCUGCGAAAAUCGUAUCAUUCUAGAAGUGAUCUUGUGAUCUUCUGUCAAUUGUUUUGGCACCCAGUGAGCCGAAACUUUACGGUGUCCAAGCUGAUUAUGCACACUUCUAUAAACAACAAUCUUCCAAGAUGUCCAGAUCAUCAGCUGCCAGUCUUCAGAAAUCUUUCGGUCACAGAAGACUAGACAGACCAACAGUGUGAAUCAUCUGCAAGAUUUGAAUGCUCUGCCUUGAACAUGUGCGUAGAGAUAGACUUGUUUUUUGCUCAUUCCAUUUCCAUCUUUACCGUAGACAAAAAACAAGUUCAAGAUGAAUUUCAGUUUCAUUUCUCCCUUUCAUGUGCUAAAAUUUUACAAUACCUCUAGCCUCUGACCACUUUCAAUGAUGGUCUGGUAGCCAUAUUUCUUCUACCAUCACUCAUUGGUGCAUUUGAGGAUACAGACCUGCCAUGUAAUCCCAGUUGAACCCACUCAGUGCUGCUCGAUGUGCAGUAGGAAGAUGGCUCAGGACCACGCAAAGGGGAAUAAAUCCCAGUUGAAACCACUCAGUGCCGCUGGAUUUGCAGUAGGAAGAUGGCUCAGGGCCACGCAAAGGGGAAUAAAUCCAUGUUUGUGAUGUAGUAGGUAUUUUUAAAAAAUCAUUAUAGAAUAACCAAUCCAUUGAUCAAAAAAAAAUCUUGAAACGAGUUCUUCACAAAUGAAUAUAUUUUAAUUUAAAAAAUUA
RNAcentral lists this unclassified non-coding RNA (4267 nucleotides) under Aplysia californica (California sea hare). Its description in RNAcentral is "tyrosine-protein kinase SYK, transcript variant X1". The record is from RNAcentral. Lineage: Eukaryota; Metazoa; Mollusca; Gastropoda; Aplysiida; Aplysiidae.